Molecule: ribosomal RNA, 389 nt
Filed under: uncultured bacterium
Lineage: Bacteria
Description: bacterial SSU rRNA
Rfam family: Bacterial small subunit ribosomal RNA
Source: RNAcentral
AAUGAACGUUGGCGGUGUGCUUAACACACGCAAGUCGAGCGAGAAAGUUUCUUCGGAAAUAAGUAGAGCGGCGAACGGGUGAGUAACGCGUGAGGAUCUACCCUUCAGUGAAGGAUACCCUUGAGAAAUUAAGGUUAAUACUGCAUACGUCCCUUUGUAACAAAAGGGAGAAAGAUGGCCUCUUGCUGUCGCUGAAAGAUGAACUUGCGUUCUAUUAGCUAGUUGGUGGGGUAAAGGCNCACCAAGGCGAUGAUGGAUAGCCGGCCUGAGAGGGUGAACGGCCACAUUGGAACUGAGAAACGGUCCAGACUCCUACGGGAGGCAGCAGUGAGGAAUAUUGCACAAUGGGCGAAAGCCUGAUGCAGCGACACCGCGUGAAGGAUGAAGGU